CGGGGCUUAGUGCCGGAGCUAACGCAAUAAGCACUCCGCCUGGGGAGUACGACCGCAAGGUUGAAACUCAAAGGAAUUGACGGGGGCCCGCACAAGCGGUGGAGCAUGUGGUUUAAUUCGAAGCAACGCGAAGAACCUUACCAGGUCUUGACAUCCCGAUGCUAUUCUUAGAGAUAGGAAGUUACUUCGGUACAUCGGAGACAGGUGGUGCAUGGUUGUCGUCAGCUCGUGUCGUGAGAUGUUGGGUUAAGUCCCGCAACGAGCGCAACCCUUAUUGUUAGUUGCCAUCAUUAAGUUGGGCACUCUAGCGAGACUGCCGGUAAUAAACCGGAGGAAGGUGGGGAUGACGUCAAAUCAUCAUGCCCCUUAUGACCUGGGCUACACACGUGCUACAAUGGUCGGUACAACGAGUUGCGAGCCGGUGACGGCAAGCUAAUCUCUGAAAGCCGAUCUCAGUUCGGAUUGGAGGCUGCAACUCGCCUCCAUGAAGUCGGAAUCGCUAGUAAUCGCGGAUCAGCACGCCGCGGUGAAUACGUUCCCGGGCCUUGUACACACCGCCCGUCACACAACGAGAGUUUGUAACACCCGAAGUCGGUGAGGUAACCUUUUAGGGNCCA
This 617-nucleotide ribosomal RNA is filed under the name uncultured bacterium. RNAcentral describes it as "bacterial SSU rRNA". It matches the Rfam family "Bacterial small subunit ribosomal RNA", at positions 834 to 1451 of the family's 1533-position model. The record is from RNAcentral.